Molecule: RNA transcript, 4537 nt
Organism: Nomascus leucogenys (northern white-cheeked gibbon)
Lineage: Eukaryota; Metazoa; Chordata; Mammalia; Primates; Hylobatidae
Gene: ZSCAN12
Gene name: zinc finger and SCAN domain containing 12
Exons: 6
Source: RefSeq, a predicted model, not a curated record
GCUUCCGGCCUUUGUGGGUCACUUUUGAUGGGUUCCGGGUCCUAAAAGGGUUCGAGGCCUCCUGCCUUCGCUCCGUAGAAGGGAGUUCUCUUCUGGACCUGGGGGCCGCAGGACUGUCCAGGAAUACAUUUUCCAGGUGAGAUCUUACUUGAAACACCGGUAGUUCCAACACAGCUAAAAUGGCAUCUACUUGGGCUAUCCAGGCCCACAUGGACCAGGAUGAACCUUUGAAAGUAAAGAUACAGGAGGAGAAAUAUACCACCAAACAGGAUUGGGACCUGCAUAAAAACAACACCCAUAGCAGAGAGGUCUUCCGUCAGUACUUCAGACAGUUCUGCUACCAGGAGACAUCUGGUCCCCGUGAGGCUUUGAGCCGACUUCGAGAACUUUGCCAUCAGUGGCUGAGGCCAGAGACCCACACCAAAGAACAGAUUCUGGAGCUGCUGGUGCUGGAGCAGUUCCUGACUAUCCUACCUGAGGAGCUGCAGGCCUGGGUGCAGGAGCAGCAUCCAGAGAGUGGGGAGGAGGUGGUGACUGUGCUGGAGGAUUUAGAGAGAGAACUGGAUGAACCAGAAGAGCAGGUCUCAGCCCACACUGGGGAACAGGAAAUGUUCUUGCAGGAGAUGGUACCUCUAGGAAAAGAAGGAGAACCCAGUAUGUCCCUCCAGUCCAUGAAAGCCCAGCCAAAGUAUGACUCUCCAGAACCUGAAUCCCAACAGGAGCAAGUUUUAGAUGUUGAGACUGGAAAUGAGUAUGGGAAUUUAAAGCAAGAAGUUUCUGAAGAAAUGGAACCACAUGGGAAUACAUCCAGUAAAUUUGAAAAUGAUAUGUCCAAGUCUGCUAGGUGUGGAGAAACUCAUGAACCUGAAGAAAUAACAGAAGAGUCCUCUGCGUGCUCCAGAGAAGAUAAACAACCUACCUGUGAUGAAAACGGAGUAAGCCUGACUGAGAACUCUGACCAUACGGAACAUCAGAGAAUCUGUCCAGGAGAAAAAUCAUAUGGAUGUGAUGACUGUGGAAAAGCUUUUAGUCAGCACUUACACCUCAUAGAACAUCAGAGGAUCCAUACUGGAGACAGACCCUACAAAUGUGAAGAAUGUGGAAAAGCUUUCCGUGGGAGAACUGUGCUUAUUCGACACAAAAUAAUACACACUGGAGAGAAACCAUAUAAGUGUAAUGAGUGUGGCAAAGCCUUUGGCCGGUGGUCAGCUCUUAACCAACAUCAGAGACUUCACACAGGAGAAAAACACUAUCACUGUAAUGACUGUGGCAAAGCCUUUAGUCAGAAAGCAGGCCUCUUUCACCAUAUCAAGAUCCACACAAGAGACAAACCUUAUCAGUGUACUCAGUGUGAUAAAAGUUUUAGUCGGCGUUCCAUACUUACUCAGCAUCAAGGAGUUCAUACUGGCAUGAAGCCCUAUGAGUGCAACGAGUGUGGAAAAGCCUUUGUUUAUAACUCAUCCCUGGUUUCCCAUCAGGAAAUCCACCACAAAGAAAAAUGCUAUCAGUGUAAGGAAUGUGGGAAAUCCUUCAGUCAGAGUGGCCUUAUUCAGCAUCAGAGAAUUCACACUGGGGAAAAACCCUACAAAUGUGAGGUAUGUGAAAAGGCCUUUAUUCAAAGGACAAGUCUUACAGAACAUCAGCGAAUUCACACUGGAGAAAGACCCUAUAAAUGUGAUAAGUGUGGGAAGGCAUUUACUCAAAGAUCGGUCCUCACGGAACAUCAGAGAAUCCACACUGGAGAAAGGCCCUACAAGUGUGAUGAGUGUGGGAAUGCCUUCCGAGGAAUCACCAGCCUCAUUCAGCAUCAGAGAAUCCACACUGGGGAGAAGCCCUACCAAUGUGAUGAGUGUGGAAAAGCCUUCAGACAGAGGUCAGAUCUUAGUAAACACCAGAGAAUCCAUAAUAGAGGUGGUCCCUAUGUAUGUAAAGAGUGUGGGAAAUCAUUCAGGCAGAACUCAGCUCUUACUCAACAUCAGACUAUCCACAAAGGAGAAAAAUCUGUUUCUGUGUGAUCACUACAGGGAAGUUAUCUCACAGAGUUCAGGCCGGAAGAAGACCAGCUACAAGGAAAUACUUCUGAAAAAUCACUCUGAACCCCAAGCUGGAGUGAAUCUUCUCCUGAGCUCUCUCAUUCCAGAAUGGCAAUCUUGUUGCAGGAAAGAUCUCUAAUAGUGACUGAUGGUAAAGGAAGAAGGCUGUGCCUAGAACAAAGAAUCAGGCUGGCAAAGAAAUCACAAACUUUAAAUUGUUACUCUCUGGAGAUAGCUACCUGGACUUUACAGAGCUCUCAGAAGACUUGGGAAGGUUUGCCAGCAUUGGAAAAAGCCACUUGGACUUCACAGAGCUGUCAGAUGACUUAGGAAGCUUUGCCAGUAGUUCCUGAGACCAGAAAUACAUAUUAUGAAGCAGGUGCUGGAACAGGCCCUGGCCCCUACUUGUGAAGCUGCAGAUAUAGAUGGUGUUACUGAGAAGGAAACUAAGGACUUGGCUCCAAAACAAAAACAAGCAAAAAUCUGGAGAUGCUGAAUUUUGUUGGGGGGAAUGUCUGUAGAACUGCAACAUCAAUGCAGUAAGGGUAGUAAAAGCUUUAGUUUCUGGUGAGUCAUUACUCAGCAUCAUGGAUGGAGUCCACGAUGAAGAGAAUCUCUUCGCAAUCUCUGCAAUCAACAAGUUUUGAAAGGCUUUUGUUUAUAGUGGAACCCUCUUUUCCCCCCAGAAGAACCACCACAAGGAAAAAUGCUGUCAGCAUAAGGAAUGUGGGAAAGUUUUCAGCCACAUGGCCUUAUUUGACUUCAAAGAAUCCACAUGAGAGAGAGACUGCAUAAAUGUGAUAACUGAGGAGGCCUUUGUUCAGCAAGGAAACCUUAUACAAACAUGUAUGAAGAAUGUAGGAAGACCUUCACCCAGAAGCCAGGACUGACUGUGCACCAGAGAAUCUGCACAAUAAACGUGGUGAAUGUGGAGAUGCUUUCUUCAGCGUUGGAGAAUUCACAGUAAAGGGAAACCCUGCCAGUGUGAUGAGUAUGGAAAAGUCUUCAGAGGUUGGAACUUGGGAAAAAUCAGUGAGUGAAUUCAUAUUAGAGAGGCUCUUAUAAAUGAGAGGAUUAUGGGAACUUGUAUAGACAGAGAUCAGACCUCAAUAAGGGAAUCUCCACAGUAUUGAAAAGUUAAUAUAAUUAAUGUAAGUGGGCAAGUUGUAUGGGGAAUGGGUAGUCUAAAUUGCUCAUUUUAGCUAGUAAAAACAUUAAAUGAAUUUUUUAGAUCAAGAAAAGGAAAUGUUAGAAGUUAUUUUCCCUUCCAGAGGGGUCUAUAUGUGUAAGCAAUCAGGACUUUUGAAAUAAGUUGCAUCUCUGGAUUUGUGAUCUGUCUCCUGGAUGAUUAUCUCUGUUUUGGGGGACAGGCAUUUUUUUCUUCAUGCCUGUUCUAGUCUCAUCUCAUAUCUUUAAUUAAUUCAGCAAGUAUACACAAUAGUAUUAUCGUCUACUGUUUGUUGUAAAUAUAUAUAUAUAUAUAUAUAUUAUUUUCUUUAUGGUCUGAGUAGGCUUGUAUUGGUACCCUAGGACACAAAAAGCACAUAUAUCCUGUUUCAGUAAAUGUAGUGAAAGGAACUACAUUAUUAAAUUGCUGGGCAUUUCUAUAAAUUUGGGACUACCUUUAUAUUCUCCAACACAAGACCAUGUAGGUGUCCGUUCAGAGAGUAUAUUUUUCCAGCUUUGGCUUCUUUAUUUUCUUUCUUUCUUUAUUUUUUUGAGAUGGAGUCUUGCUCUUGUUGCCCAGGCUGGAGUGCAAUGGCACGAUCUUGGCUCACUGCAACCUCCGCCCUCUGGGUUCAAGCGAUUCUCCUGCCUCAGUCUCCCGAGUAGCUGGGAUCACAGGUGCUUGCCACCACGCCCAGCUAAUUUUUGUAUUUUUAGUAGAGAUUGGGUUUCACCAUGUUGGCCAGGCUGGUCUCGAACUCCUGACCUCGUGAUCCACCCACCUUGGCCUCCCAAAGUGCUGGGAUUAUAGGCAUAAGCCACUGUGCCCAGCUGUUUUUUUAAGAUAGAAAAAAAAUAUACUUCACAUGUAGCAUAUUGACAGGUAAUGACUACUAUUUUUUCUUAUAGCUAACACAUAAUAAACAUUGUGAAGACUAAUAUGUUAAGUAACUUGCUUAUUCUUUUCAGUUCUAAAACCUAUAGGAAAGAAUCUUUAGAAGCUGUCAACAAGUUGAUAAUGUAGCCCAAUCUCUACCCAUGAUAGGAGAGUAAGGCUUACAUAUUUUAUAGUAGGGCACUAAAUACAGGAACCGUGUAUUUAAAAACUUUUUAGUGAUUUUCUCAGAAUUCUAGGUUUCUCUCUGCUGUACAUCCCUAAAUCUUUUGCAUAGGUAUUAAUACAUUCAUUAUUUUUAAAGAUGGACUGCAUUCUGUAAAAGGCUUUUCCAGUAUAUGUAAAUCACACAGUUUUUUUUAACUCUAUUACUAUUAUAUAAAAUGAUUUCUUAAUAUUGAACCAACCUUGCAUUCCUAGAAUAAACCUCACUUAGCCAUGA